AUGCUCGGGGGUCCGGGAGGUCCCGGGGGCGACAAGCACGCGCACGACCGUGUCCGAGGGUCUCUCAACCACCGCUUGUCGUGGCGACCGUCGCCGAGGACUCGAUUUUAGGCCAACCACGGGCGGGAGCGCGCGGGAGACCAGUAUCCGCCCCCGCCCUCGUGAGCCGAGGGGAGUGGGGGCGACGAUGCGUGACACCCAGGCAGGCGUGCCCUCGACCAGGAGGCCUCGGGCGCAACUUGCGUUCAAAGACUCGAUGGUUCACGGGAUUCUGCAAUUCACACCAAGUAUCGCAUUUCGCUACGUUCUUCAUCGAUGCGAGAGCCGAGAUAUCCGUUGCCGAGAGUCGUUCAGAUUAUCACAAAAAGAAGGCGCGCCCCCGACACCGAGGCUACGAGGGCGUGCUCCUAGUACUCAAUUUCCUUGGCGCUUCUCGCGCCGGGGUUCGUUGGCGAGCCGUGUCGGGCGCAGAUGCGUCCCUCCACGGCACGCGUGGACACGAGGGGCGGGUGCCCCCCGAGCCCAGCUUGUCAUGCCACGGGUUCGCGGGU
Molecule: unclassified non-coding RNA, 551 nt
Filed under: Salix caprea
Lineage: Eukaryota; Viridiplantae; Streptophyta; Magnoliopsida; Malpighiales; Salicaceae
Description: sequence contains ITS1, 5.8S rRNA gene and ITS2
Source: RNAcentral